AGCGGCGGACGGGUGAGUAACGCGUGGGUAACCUGCCUCAUAUAGGGGGAUAACAGUUGGAAACGGCUGCUAAUACCGCAUAAGCGCACAGUACCGCAUGGUACGGUGUGAAAAACUCCGGUGGUAUGAGAUGGACCCGCGUCUGAUUAGGUAGUUGGUGGGGUAACGGCCUACCAAGCCGACGAUCAGUAGCCGACCUGAGAGGGUGACCGGCCACAUUGGGACUGAGACACGGCCCAA
RNAcentral lists this ribosomal RNA (240 nucleotides) under uncultured bacterium. RNAcentral describes it as "partial 16S ribosomal RNA". It matches the Rfam family "Bacterial small subunit ribosomal RNA", at positions 94 to 334 of the family's 1533-position model. The record is from RNAcentral.